GAUGAACGCUGGCGGCGUGCCUAAUACAUGCAAGUCGAGCGAACAGACGAGGAGCUUGCUCCUCUGACUUUAGCGGCGGACGGGCGAGUAACACGUGGAUAACCUACCUAUAAGACUGGGAUAACUUCGUGAAACCGGAGCUAAUACCGGAUAAUAUAUUGAACCGCAUGGUUCAAUAGUGAAAGACGGUUUUGCUUCCGCUUAUAGAUGGACCCGCCCCGCAUUAGCUAGUUGGUAAGGUAACGCCUUACCAAGGCGACGAUGCGUAGCCGACGUGAGAGGGUGAUCGCCCACACUGGAAGUGGAACACGGUCCAGACUACUACGGGGAGCAGCAGUAGGGAAUCAUCCGCAAUGGGAGAAAGCCUGACGGAGCAACGCCGCGUGAGGGAUGAAGGUCUUCGGAUCGUAGAGCUCUGUUUUUAGGGAGGAAGAAAUGUGUAAGUAGCUAUGCACGUCUUGACGGUACCUAAUCAGAAAGCCACGGCUAACUACGUG
This 497-nucleotide ribosomal RNA is filed under the name uncultured bacterium. RNAcentral describes it as "partial 16S ribosomal RNA". It matches the Rfam family "Bacterial small subunit ribosomal RNA", at positions 28 to 507 of the family's 1533-position model. The record is from RNAcentral.